Molecule: non-coding RNA, 648 nt
Organism: Sus scrofa (pig)
Lineage: Eukaryota; Metazoa; Chordata; Mammalia; Artiodactyla; Suidae
Source: RefSeq, a predicted model, not a curated record
UGGCCUGGGAUACUCUGCUGUCUAGUAGUAGAGGCUGGUAAUGAACUUGUAUCCUAGGACUCUCCCAUUCUCUACAUCUUUUCCUUUUCAGAGUCUCCCCUACAACGGCUGGAGGAAGUAAGAGAAAACCUUUGUCAGGUGUCUACUAGUUCAAGAACUAUGGAUGCAUGCUCUCUACCUUUUCCUCAUUUUAUCCUCAAAAAUCCAUGGAAAGAACUUUUGGAGAACAAAAGAAAGAGGAUAAUGGAGAAGAUCAUGAUGUGAAUUAUGUGAUCAUUGUGUGAAUCAGGAAAGACAAUAUGAAAAUAAAUAGAGCUGGACAAGGAACCUGAAUCUUCAUCUUGAUUCUGCAAAAUAUUGAACAAAGUAAACUGCCAUAGCAAAUAAACCAUAAAAUAUAAGGGUGGCACAGAGUGAAAUCAAGAUGCUGGCUGGGCUGUAUUAUCAUAUGGAGUUAGCAUCCUCUUCUACGUUCCUUCAGGCCCUUGGCAAAAUUCAGCUUCUUGCAGCUGUAUCUCUAAGGUAAGGUCUCCAUUGUUUUGCUGGUUGUGGGCUGGGAGUUGCUCUCACUUUAAAAUUUGUUUAUGUUCCUUAUCAUGUGUCUCCCUCCUUUUCCAAAACUAGCCAUGCCGUAUUUUUUCUUGCUUC